GACAAUAAUAUUAAUAGUAAUUGGGAAAUAAUAUCAAUAGGACGAUGCAUUCAUUCACAAAUGAGGCUCGUUGAGGCGAAUAGGGUAGGAAAAUUGAAUGGGGGGAAAACCAGAGAAUGAGAAAGGGUGUGAAAAUAAUUAUGUUUUCUUCUGAAUGAAUACUCUAUUGGCUCCUCUUUUCUUUUUUGCCGCAUUUUUUUUUCAGAUUGGUAUUUAC
Caenorhabditis elegans is the source of this 217-nucleotide non-coding RNA. The record is from Ensembl. Lineage: Eukaryota; Metazoa; Nematoda; Chromadorea; Rhabditida; Rhabditidae.